RNAcentral lists this ribosomal RNA (310 nucleotides) under Salmonella enterica subsp. enterica serovar Heidelberg. RNAcentral's name for it is "partial 23S ribosomal RNA". It matches the Rfam family "Bacterial large subunit ribosomal RNA", at positions 2633 to 2925 of the family's 2925-position model. RNAcentral also lists the same sequence under 1 other name. Lineage: Bacteria; Pseudomonadati; Pseudomonadota; Gammaproteobacteria; Enterobacterales; Enterobacteriaceae. The record is from RNAcentral.
GGUCCCUAUCUGCCGUGGGCGCUGGAGAACUGAGGGGGGCUGCUCCUAGUACGAGAGGACCGGAGUGGACGCAUCACUGGUGUUCGGGUUGUCAUGCCAAUGGCACUGCCCGGUAGCUAAAUGCGGAAGAGAUAAGUGCUGAAAGCAUCUAAGCACGAAACUUGCCCCGAGAUGAGUUCUCCCUGAGACUUAAAGUCUCCUGAAGGAACGUUGAAGACGACGACGUUGAUAGGCCGGGUGUGUAAGCGCAGCGAUGCGUUGAGCUAACCGGUACUAAUGAACCGUGAGGCUUAACCUUACAACGCCGAAG